This 608-nucleotide ribosomal RNA is filed under the name Magnaporthaceae sp. RS7-1. Its description in RNAcentral is "SSU rRNA". It matches the Rfam family "Eukaryotic small subunit ribosomal RNA", at positions 14 to 626 of the family's 1831-position model. The record is from RNAcentral. Lineage: Eukaryota; Fungi; Ascomycota; Sordariomycetes; Magnaporthales; Magnaporthaceae.
UUGCCAGUAGUCAUAUGCUUGUCUUAAAGAUUAAGCCAUGCAUGUCUAAGUAUAAGCAAUUAUACAGCGAAACUGCGAAUGGCUCAUUAAAUCAGUUAUCGUUUAUUUGAUAGUACCUUACUACAUGGAUAACCGUGGUAAUUCUAGAGCUAAUACAUGCUGAAAACCCCGACUUCGGAAGGGGUGUAUUUAUUAGAUUAAAAACCAAUGCCCUUCGGGGCUCACUGGUGAUUCAUGAUAACUUCUCGAAUCGCACGGCCUUGCGCCGGCGAUGGUUCAUUCAAAUUUCUGCCCUAUCAACUUUCGACGGCUGGGUCUUGGCCAGCCGUGGUGACAACGGGUAACGGAGGGUUAGGGCUCGACCCCGGAGAAAACGCCUGAGAAACGGCGUUUACAUCCAAGGAAGGCAGCAGGCGCGCAAAUUACCCAAUGCCGACACGGCGAGGUAGUGACGAGAAAUACUGAUACAGGGCUCUUUUGGGUCUUGUAAUUGGAAUGAGUACAAUUUAAAUCUCUUAACGAGGAACAAUUGGAGGGCAAGUCUGGUGCCAGCAGCCGCGGUAAUUCCAGCUCCAAUAGCGUAUAUNAAAGUUGUUGCAGUUAAAAAG